Non-coding RNA from Phrynosoma platyrhinos (Desert horned lizard), 72 nucleotides. Lineage: Eukaryota; Metazoa; Chordata; Lepidosauria; Squamata; Phrynosomatidae. The record is from the annotation of a GenBank genome assembly.
GCCAGCAUGGUGUAGUGGUUUGAGUAUUGGACUAGGAUUCUGGAGACCAGGGUUUGAAUCCCUGUUUUGCCA